GCCUGCGUAGCUCAAUUGGUAGAGCAACGGAUUUGUAAUCCGUAGGUUACGAGUUCGAUUCUUGUCGCCGGCACCA
RNAcentral lists this transfer RNA (76 nucleotides) under Magnetococcales bacterium. RNAcentral's name for it is "tRNA-Thr". It matches the Rfam family "tRNA". Rfam says of the family: Transfer RNA (tRNA) molecules are approximately 80 nucleotides in length. Their secondary structure includes four short double-helical elements and three loops (D, anti-codon, and T loops). Lineage: Bacteria; Pseudomonadati; Pseudomonadota; Magnetococcia; Magnetococcales. The record is from RNAcentral.